Molecule: long non-coding RNA, 2684 nt
Organism: Cloeon dipterum
Lineage: Eukaryota; Metazoa; Arthropoda; Insecta; Ephemeroptera; Baetidae
Exons: 2
Source: RefSeq, a predicted model, not a curated record
UUGAUUAGUCCUUAAUUCAUUUGUUUCUGCUCAAUUUUUUCGGAUCUAAAUUUUCUGCCUGGGACUAAUAGCUGUUUUAUGUAUAUCCAGUUAAAUGACUGAAGGGCGGUAACAUAUGUAGACCUUUGGUUUCAACUUAAAUAGAUAAGUCCUUGAUUCAUUUGUUUCUGCCCAAUUUUUUCGAAUCAAAAUCUUUUUGGACGUUGUAUUACCACAGAAAACGUAGUAUGAUUGCUAUGGCAAGCAAAUCUUGUAAAAUUAUUUCUGUAUCAAGAAAUUCUGUGCCACGCCAGUUAUCAUUAAUCAUAGUUUCAGUCUCGAAGAAUUCAGCACAAAUUAAUAGUUUAUUUUUUUUUCUUUGAUUCAUAAAAUUUUAUACACAUCAGUCCCUGGUGAGUUAAAUCUAUUUUUUUAUUAUUCUUGUUUAUUCUGCCUUGUCAUAAAUACAUAAAAUAAUUGGAUAUAAAAUCACAAAACGUUUUUGGACAGAAUUGGCAAGCAGUGCUGGCAAGGUUUUUAAGUCAGUUACAUACAAAUUGGAGUCAUUUUAUAAACGUAACGAGAUCUAUCAUGCUUAGAAAUUCCAAGCACCUUUCUUAAAAUAGCGAAUUUUAGCUCUUUCUAGGUUUUCUAAGUCAGUAUUUGUUAGAUGUGGCCAGAUGAUUUCAAUUCCAUGCGAGGCUGUUGGUGAGAUAUAGGUCAAAGAGUUUAAACGCAGUGUCAAUAUAGCAAGCCUAUUCAAAUUUUUAAUACAUAUAUAUAAGUUGUCAUUUAAGCUGCUCGCGCGCACUCUUUACUCUUCAUGAAUUGCAAAGAACGUACCCGAGGUUUGGAACACAGCACCCAAAUAUGAGAAUUCAGACACAAAUUCAAAUUUAUGCUUCUAACUCAAUUUUUCUCUUUGUAUAUCUGUCACGCCCUAAAAUUUCUAAAUUUCGUCACUUUUCUAUAUUUAUAUAUUCCUUUAAGGCAACAAUCGCAAUAUUAAAAUCACUCAAGAACUCACUAGUUGGGACAAUGUCAUCCGUAAAGGGGACAGCUUUGCAACAAAUUAUUUAGACAAAGAAACCACUAAUAAGCUGAAAGGAUUAAUAUUCAAUUUUUUCUGUAUUUUGAUAUUUGUAUUAGUCCAUUAUUUUAUAAUUAAAUUUUCAAGAGCUCAAUUGAAGUUUGAAUCAAAACGAUAAUUCUAAUUGUGAAAAUAGUUUCAGAUUCUAUUCUAGUUAAUUAAAACUUCUCAUUCUAUAAGCUCUCUUGACUGCUAAAUAUAUCUCUUUUUGUUGUAGUUUGUUAUGGGAAAGCAAAAAUUGUCUCUGCUUCUUGGUCAGUAGAUUUUAAAAAGAUAAAAAUUAAUCCAAGCAGUUGCAUUUUAUCUUUAAUAACUUCUAUUAUGAUUAUUUUUAAAACAAAAACUGCAGCAGUUUGCUAUUAGCUUCCUGCUUUACAAAAUCUCGGCAAUAAAGACCGCAAAGCGACCUCAAAAAGGCGACGCCAAAAACAUUUCUCUCAUUUAUACUUGUAAUGUAUCCAUGUGAGCUCAGCAUGAUGCGAAGUCAUCCUAACGUUGCAAUCGUGCUCCUUAUUGCGUUGUUGCUGCUGGCUCCUGUUAUUGACAGCAAGCCCAAGGCACUUCAAGAGAGAGGUCAAAUUGAUCAGCCACCCUCCGUUAUCAAGAGUGCAAUCACCGUCAACACCACAGAUGCCCGAUUCCCCGGCGCUCCUUGGAGUAUAUCAGGCAGCAAGGCAAGAUUUAUGUGUCCAACUACGCACACCUGGGAUUCUAGAGCUAAAAUUUGUCGACUAAUUCAUCAGUAAAAUAAUUUGUUAAUUCUUAAGUUAUGCUCAUUCUGAUUAAUGUCUGUUUUUGACAGGUAUACAUAAUAAUGAGUUUUGUUUGAGCCCUAUUUGUUGAUAUUUUUAGCUCAUGAAUAAAGAUAAAAAAAUCAAUAUUAAGUUUUCUAUUAUAUUAUACAAUUUGAACGCCUCUCCAUAACAAUUUUUAGUUUAAAUGACAAGUCGAAUGUAUCAAGAAAUUGAAAUGAGAUAAUAUCAUAUUUUUUCUCAUUCGUAAAUAUAUAACAACCGUCGUCAAAUAAUGAAAAAAGAGUGACGUCAGAGCCAAGGUUGAUAGCCCGGCAAGUGUCGUGCAGUCAGUCGUUGUGGCUAACAAGGCGUGUUGAGAGGAAGCAGCGCAGAUGUAUGUGAUUGUGCUCAUAAGUCUCCUAAUUGGCUCCCUCUGUGUCGCUGAAAAUGCGACGGAAUCGCAGACAGACCCUUUUAACGUAAUCAACGCCCCCGAUAGAGAUGAAAGAUGUCCAGGUGUUUCGAGGAGGUGCCCAGAAAACAACAUUUUUGAAUUCAGAACUUGCAAAUGCAGACAAAUUGUUGGGAAAUGAGUGAACGAUUGCGGCGCAGCAGACCUAUAUAUGGCUCACUCUGCAUGGAGGAUAGAAAGAGUGUUGCACGCGCAUCGACACAAAACUCGUCAGGUCUAAGUCGAAAAGAUUAUCUUAAUUAAUAUACGCGACAUAAAUUUUUGCUGUAAAAUCGCUGCAUAACGAUUAAAGUUGACCUGAUAUCUAAUUUAGAAAUAUUUCGUAUUAUAUACUAUGUCGUUUCAUGCUGCAUCAAUCGUUCUCUGAAAUAAAUGUGUCCAAAAAUCAAUAAAAUUGCUUACACGUGAA